AUACGGAGGAUGCGAGCGUUAUCCGGAUUUAUUGGGUUUAAAGGGAGCGUAGGUGGGAUAUUAAGUCAGCUGUGAAAGUUUGGGGCUCAACCUUAAAAUUGCAGUUGAUACUGGUUUCCUUGAGUACGGUACAGGUGGGCGGAAUUCGUGGUGUAGCGGUGAAAUGCUUAGAUAUCACGAAGAACUCCGAUCGCGAAGGCAGCUCACCGGGCCGGAACUGACACUGAUGCUCGAAAGUGCGGGUAUCAAACAGGAUUAGAUACCCUGGUAGUCCGCACAGUAAACGAUGAAUACUCGCUGUUUGCGAUAUACAGUAAGCGGCCAAGCGAAAGCAUUAAGUAUUCCGCCUGGGGAGUACGCCGGCAACGGUGAAACUCAAAUGAAUUGACGGGG
This 393-nucleotide ribosomal RNA is filed under the name uncultured bacterium. RNAcentral's name for it is "partial 16S ribosomal RNA". It matches the Rfam family "Bacterial small subunit ribosomal RNA", at positions 523 to 918 of the family's 1533-position model. The record is from RNAcentral.